AGCUUUUAUUUUUACUAAUGUUCUAUUAUUAUAAUCUUCAUUAACUUUUUUUUUAUAACUUUCAUCCUAGUGAUAGACUCUCUACCCUACUGGAAUCAAUGGAAUUAUGUAUAAAUUGUACAGCGUCGUGUCCGUGAACUUCCAGAGUUCGCAUUAAAAACUGACAGAACAUCAGAGUGCCAGAAGCUUCUCAUAUUGUGGCUCUGGAGGACUCACCAUUUGGGACUCCAGUAGGAUCCUUGAGGAAUUAUUGCUCCAGGAGUAAUAAUUGUAAGUAUCUUUAAUAUUAGUUUUUAAAAAUUAGGCAAACUGAUAAUAUCAGAGUAUGUUUAUAUA
RNAcentral lists this long non-coding RNA (336 nucleotides) under Anser brachyrhynchus (Pink-footed goose). RNAcentral describes it as "lncRNA (ENSABRG00000020024.1)". Lineage: Eukaryota; Metazoa; Chordata; Aves; Anseriformes; Anatidae. The record is from RNAcentral.